CAUCGUCAAAACAUGUCUGACUUCCGUUCGAAACGCCAUUGUGUUCCGGAUUGAUAACAUUAUGUCGUGGUACAAAAUAGCUAUACACCGUUUAAUUGAACUCUUCUAACUAAGGAGGUGAGAUAGGAAUGAAAUCACCAAAACGCUUAGAAAAUAUGUCAAUUUUCUUCCUGUUUAAAGCUUUUAACUAACAUUGAUUAUCAGCUGUUUUGUACGGAAAACGUGGAAUCUAAGUAAUAUACCGUUUCCCUGCUCUGCUGCUAUUGGCAACACAUUUUUGUCAUGUCAUCUGCAACAGACGAUCAUACAUAUGUGGCGGAUUAUUGAUAUAGAUACAACUAGGUAGCAAUAGCAGUGGAAGCCCGGAUUUGCAAGCCAAAUGAGGGAAAGACAGAAUUCUGAAAAGGAGCAUGUUUUUCAUUUCCACACAUGCAUGUGUAUCACUAUGGACAUCUAAUGUUUUUGUGGGAUUUUGUCCAGCAGUUUGCCUUAAAAGAAUUUUUUUUAUAUUUUAGUUUCAUAUUUAUGUGGAUUCCAAUAAAAAUCAUACAAACUU
Molecule: long non-coding RNA, 556 nt
Organism: Magallana angulata
Lineage: Eukaryota; Metazoa; Mollusca; Bivalvia; Ostreida; Ostreidae
Exons: 3
Source: RefSeq, a predicted model, not a curated record